GCCUACGUUACAAAUCACCUGGAAUGCACCCGAUCUCACCAGACCUCACAAGCUAAGCAGGAUGGGCAUGGAGAGUGCUUGGAUGGGCGACCACCACCGUGUACAACCGGUGCUAUAGGCU
RNAcentral lists this ribosomal RNA (121 nucleotides) under Petromyzon marinus (sea lamprey). The record is from RNAcentral. Lineage: Eukaryota; Metazoa; Chordata; Hyperoartia; Petromyzontiformes; Petromyzontidae.